UUUCAUCCAUGAUGGCGGGCAUCAGAUCAAUGGCAUGGAUGAACUAGUAAUGAGCCCUAAAUUUACAGAUUAUGAACCAAACAGGGAAGUUUCAUGUUGGUGACAAACAUGGAACUCAGCAUUUAAAAAAUGAUAUUUAAAAUCUUGCCAAAGUAUAAUUAUAUUAGUAAAUAAAAAUUUACUAAAAUACCUUUAAAAUAGUAAGGCCUUUUUUGGUAGAAACCUAAAAAUGAGCUCAUCUCAUGUUAGUGUUGAUUGACAUGUUGGAUUUCAUAUCAGUUUUCCUCCAACUUUUUAAUAAACUUAGAUGUUUGUGGUGUAUUGUCUUACAAUGUCUACAAAAUGCAGGUUAAUCUUUCUACUGGUCAAAUGAUGGAUUUGAUACCUUGAUGCUUAUCAAACGCAGCCAAUAGGCACAAUCAGUGGAAGGGACUGUUUGGUAGGUUGGAUUGGGAAGGAAACUUCCCAACUACCAUCACAGACCCUCAACCCAUGGGUAAGGUUGGCAUGUGCUUUCACCUAUGCCUGGUGUUUACUAUCCCCCAUAUAGAAUGGGAUUCAUCCUAUGCCUGGUAACUCCUCUCCAUUCUUGACAUUUGGUGGGUUUUAAUAGGGAAAGCAUGAACAUACCCCGAUAUUCCAACAGAUGAGCAAUCCCAAUCAUGAUCCCUUGUUCUUAGAAAUGGCCAUUUUAUGCAUGUAAUCUUGAAAUUACAAAAAUAAUAAUAAUAAUAAUAAUAAAAUAAAAUUGAUGAUCCCCCCAAAUUUUGAUUCUACAGUUUUGCUAGAGUUUUACAGACCUUGGUGUGCAAGAAACUAGCACCAAUCUUAAUUGAAGUCGCAGUCUCAUUUAAAUCUGAUGAGGACGUGAUCAUUACAAAAUGCUCCUCUGAUUAAGGUAUUGUGGACGGAGUCAGCCACACAGUCCCAAUCUAUGAAGGUUAUGCUCAUAGAUCUCAGAAGAAACAUAAUGAAUCACCAUCAUCAACAUCAUCUAAAGCUAUCUAUCUAUCUUAUUCUAAAAAAUAUCCCUGCUAAUGCGGACUGUAAACUGAAGAUUUGUGAUUUUGGUCUUGCAUGUGUAUCAUUCAAUGAUGCUCCAUCAGCUAUUUUCUGGAUUGUAUGUUGCUCUUCCGUGUUGUGUUUGAUGCCUGUUAUUUGCAGCUUCUGACCAUGAUUAAUAUCUGGCCUUUUGGA
This is a long non-coding RNA of Magnolia sinica, 1197 nucleotides long. RefSeq lists it as uncharacterized. Lineage: Eukaryota; Viridiplantae; Streptophyta; Magnoliopsida; Magnoliales; Magnoliaceae. The record is from RefSeq and is a predicted model, not a curated record. The transcript is spliced from 2 exons.